GCUUACGGCCAUACCACCCUGAACACGCCCGAUCUCGUCCGAUCUCGGAAGCUAAGUAGGGUCGGGCCUGGUUAGUACUUGGAUGGGAGACCGCCUGGGAAUACCAGGUGCUGUAAGCU
RNAcentral lists this ribosomal RNA (119 nucleotides) under Megalops atlanticus (tarpon). Lineage: Eukaryota; Metazoa; Chordata; Actinopteri; Elopiformes; Megalopidae. The record is from RNAcentral.